Molecule: ribosomal RNA, 492 nt
Filed under: uncultured bacterium
Lineage: Bacteria
Description: partial 16S ribosomal RNA
Rfam family: Bacterial small subunit ribosomal RNA
Source: RNAcentral
GAUGAACGCUAGCGACAGGCUUAACACAUGCGAGUCGAGGGGAAACGUCAUCGCAAGCUUGCUUUUGAUGGGCGUCGACCGGCGCACGGGGGAGUAACGCGCAUCCAACCUGCCCACCACUUGGGGAUAACCUUGCGAAAGUAAGACUAAUACCCAAUGACGUCUCUAGAAGACAUCUGAAAGAGAUUAAAGAUUUAUCGGUGACGGAUGGGGAUGCGUCUGAUUAGCUUGUUGGCGGGGUAACGGCACACCAAGGCGCCGAUCAGUAGGGGUUCGGAGAGCCAGGUCCCCCGCAUUGGAACUGAGCCACGGUCCCUGCUCGUACGGGAGGCAGCGGAGCGUAGUAUUAGGCAAUGAACGCGAGUCUGAACCAGCCAAGUAGCGUACAGGAUGACGGGCCUAUGAGUUGUAGUCUGCUUUUAUGAGGGAAUAUAGUGGGUCUCGUGAGACUUUUUGCCGGUACCUUAUGAAUAAGGACCGGCUAAUUCCGUG